Molecule: ribosomal RNA, 813 nt
Filed under: Staphylococcus aureus
Lineage: Bacteria; Bacillati; Bacillota; Bacilli; Caryophanales; Staphylococcaceae
Description: partial 23S ribosomal RNA
Rfam family: Bacterial large subunit ribosomal RNA
Source: RNAcentral
CACUGCCGAGAAAAGCCUCUAGAUAGAAAAUAGGUGCCCGUACCGCAAACCGACACAGGUAGUCAAGAUGAGAAUUCUAAGGUGAGCGAGCGAACUCUCGUUAAGGAACUCGGCAAAAUGACCCCGUAACUUCGGGAGAAGGGGUGCUCUUUAGGGUUAACGCCCAGAAGAGCCGCAGUGAAUAGGCCCAAGCGACUGUUUAUCAAAAACACAGGUCUCUGCUAAACCGUAAGGUGAUGUAUAGGGGCUGACGCCUGCCCGGUGCUGGAAGGUUAAGAGGAGUGGUUAGCUUCUGCGAAGCUACGAAUCGAAGCCCCAGUAAACGGCGGCCGUAACUAUAACGGUCCUAAGGUAGCGAAAUUCCUUGUCGGGUAAGUUCCGACCCGCACGAAAGGCGUAACGAUUUGGGCACUGUCUCAACGAGAGACUCGGUGAAAUCAUAGUACCUGUGAAGAUGCAGGUUACCCGCGACAGGACGGAAAGACCCCGUGGAGCUUUACUGUAGCCUGAUAUUGAAAUUCGGCACAGCUUGUACAGGAUAGGUAGGAGCCUUUGAAACGUGAGCGCUAGCUUACGUGGAGGCGCUGGUGGGAUACUACCCUAGCUGUGUUGGCUUUCUAACCCGCACCACUUAUCGUGGUGGGAGACAGUGUCAGGCGGGCAGUUUGACUGGGGCGGUCGCCUCCUAAAAGGUAACGGAGGCGCUCAAAGGUUCCCUCAGAAUGGUUGGAAAUCAUUCAUAGAGUGUAAAGGCAUAAGGGAGCUUGACUGCGAGACCUACAAGUCGAGCAGGGUCGAAAGACGGACUUAGUG